AAGUCGUAACAAGGUCUCCGUUGGUGAACCAGCGGAGGGAUCAUUGAUGGAAUAAACGCCCUCACAGGCGCUACCCAUAAACCCUCUGUGAAUACUACCUAUAAAUGUUGCCUCGGCAUUGGUUGGCCUCUUUCGAGGUCCCUUCUUUAGGGAAGGAGCAGACCGGCCGGUGGCCCUAUAAACUCUUUGUUUUCGUAAUAUCAUCCGAGUAAAACAACUAAAUGAAUCAAAA
RNAcentral lists this unclassified non-coding RNA (232 nucleotides) under plant metagenome. RNAcentral describes it as "partial contains small subunit ribosomal RNA and internal transcribed spacer 1". The stretch from base 1 to 46 matches the Rfam family "Eukaryotic small subunit ribosomal RNA", at positions 1786 to 1831 of the family's 1831-position model. The record is from RNAcentral.